CUAAUAACCAAACCUUAUCCUCCUCUUUUUUUUUUGCGUUCUGUCUCUCCUCGACUCCUCUCCUCAAUUCUCAUUGACCUCAGUACCUCUCUACUCAGCCACUCAGAUUGCAAAGGUGUAGGCCAGUAGGCCGUCUAGCAAUUUUGUGGGAUUCUGGAAUUGAGAAAAUUGGAGAAGUCGAGCAGUGAACAAACUCAGAGUCUCGGACUAUACUUUGAGUUCAGGGAAUCAGGUUCUCUCCUUCACCUUGAUUUGCUAAGAGACAGCUAGUGAUAUAUUGAAUUUCUUACAGGAAAGGAAUACUUGCCCAGUUGUUAGACUUGCAUAUCGAAUAUUGUUAAUUGUGUCUGUUACUGUUGCUUCAGCUGAGACGAGUUUUUCCAAGUUAAAGUUAUUGAAGUCUUAUUUGCGAUCAACUAUGUCACAAGAAAGGCUAAAUGGACUUGCUUUGAUUUCGAUUGAGAACGAAUAUCUUGGAAAAAUCAAUUGUGAUAAGCUAAUUGAUCAGUUUGCAGGUAAGAAGGCAAGGAGAUGGAUUUUGAAAUGAAUAUCAAUCAACACUGCUAGAAUGUGUUAUUUUGAGGGUUCCAGAUCAAGCAUAUUUUUGUAAUUAUCUUUUGCUGCAAACUUUGUGUUUGUAUUAAAUAUUUAGCCUUUUUUGUAGGCUCAUCUAAUGAUAUAUAUUGAUGAUACAUGUUGGUUAUUUGAUUUUAUGUUUUGAGUUUAUUCCAGUAUAAAUUUCAUAUAAGACUGAAGCUUGGAGGGCCGCAUUUUAAACUUUCGCACAGGGCCUCCGAAAAGUUUGAGACGGCUCUGAUGGACUCUAGCAUCAGAAUCUGAGAGCUACAAGCUCUAUUAUCUAUUAUUUAUUUAAACAAUUGUAUGUCUACAUUUGUAUGAAAAGCCAGAGUCUCUUUCCUUUAAUGAGAUGUUUCAUAGGACUAUGGCAUGGUUGUUUUGUAUUUGAUACCUGAGUACUUUAUUGUUCUUGUGAACAAUUGGGAGAUUUUAUCUUGAUGACAUGCUGACCAAAACCGUAUCGAAAGGAAACAGGUGCCACUUUUUGGUGUGGAAGGAAGGUUCGAAAGGAUAAACCAGCAUCCAGUAAUGUAUCAGCAAUAUUUGAGUUAUUUUUCACAAGGAAUUUCUAUCAUUUGGAUUCGUAUCAUUUCUGAUUGUUUGCAAAAUGCAGGGACUCAUUCGUUUUCCAUAGGAGUCACAGAAGUCAUUAAUACAAAUCUCUUGAUAGAACUAAGUGCUGAUGACGUAGAUUAUGUCUACCAAAGGAGUCCUGGGAAAAUCUUAAGCAUCAAUAUCCCAACAUUUGAGGCCCUUACUCAAUUUGGAACUGCUACAAUCACAGCAAAGAAUACUGGUGAAGUGGAAGCAUCCUAUUGCUUAACGUUUGAUUGCUCAAGUGAUGUCACCCUUAUGGAGGAGCAAUACUUCAUUAUGAAGCCAAAAGAAACGUUAACUCGAUCAUUCAAGCUUUACCCAGGAACCGAUCAAGCUGCAAAAUACAUAUGUGCAGGUAUGAUCUGCCCAAGCCAUAGUGAUGAUAAAAUGGCCUAAAGUAGUCACGCUUGGACUCAUUUCUGGAUCUUGAAUGCAACUAUACUUAAGGACUCUAAUUAUAAUGAAGUGGAUAGAGCCGAGUGCCAAUUUUCUACGACGUCUACUGUCAUUGAUAAUGGAUCACAGGGUAAUCCCUUUAAGCCACCAAAGACAGGAACAACUGGUUUCUUUGACUCCAUUGAAAGCUUUUGGAACCAUGUGUGGAAGACUUUUAUAGAUUUCAUCACUGGAAAAUCUUGCAGUCGUCAAUUAUGACAGUGAGGACUGGGAAGGAAGACAUUAGAGCCAUAACAAGGAUGCCCACUCUGCGGUAAUGAUCCAAAGCUCGAGAAGCAACAUAAAUGAGUUUUGGACUGGGAUCUUAGAGCUCGAGAAGCAAGUGCUAUGGAUUACCUCCUUUCAGCAUAUGAGCUACCAAGUUUGAUUCAUGGGUCUAGCGCGCAGCUAGGAAUAAUGCUUUUGAUUCAUGUGUAGGUAGUAGCUAGGAAGGCUUUCUUGUUUGGUACAUUAUCUAAUAACUUGAAUGUUUGGAAGUUUGAAAAACUUAUAUGAUAUGGAUUAAUUAGUGUGGUUUUA
Molecule: long non-coding RNA, 2151 nt
Organism: Rosa rugosa (rugosa rose)
Lineage: Eukaryota; Viridiplantae; Streptophyta; Magnoliopsida; Rosales; Rosaceae
Exons: 7
Source: RefSeq, a predicted model, not a curated record